UCACCUGCCGAAUCAACU
RNAcentral lists this small nuclear RNA (18 nucleotides) under Arabidopsis thaliana (thale cress). RNAcentral's name for it is "snRNA_15312". Lineage: Eukaryota; Viridiplantae; Streptophyta; Magnoliopsida; Brassicales; Brassicaceae. The record is from RNAcentral.